Molecule: ribosomal RNA, 253 nt
Filed under: uncultured bacterium
Lineage: Bacteria
Description: partial 16S ribosomal RNA
Rfam family: Bacterial small subunit ribosomal RNA
Source: RNAcentral
UACAGAGGUCCCAAGCGUUGUUCGGAAUUACUGGGCGUAAAGCGCGUGCAGGCGGCCGACUAAGUCAGGUGUGAAAGCCCGGGGCUCACCUCCGGAAGUGCGCUUGAAACUGGUCGGCUAGAGUACGGGAGAGGGAAGCGGAAUUCCUGGUGUAGCGGUGAAAUGCGUAGAUAUCAGGAGGAACACCAGUGGCGAAGGCGGUGCUCUGGGCCGGAACUGACGCUGAGGAGCGAAAGCGUGGGGAGCAAACAGG